AACGAACGCUGGCGGCAUGCCUAACACAUGCAAGUCGAACGAGACCUUCGGGUCUAGUGGCGCACGGGUGCGUAACGCGUGGGAACCUGCCCUUAGGUUCGGAAUAACUCCCCGAAAGGGGUGCUAACACCGGACAAUGUCUUCGGACCAAAGAUUUAUCGCCUUUGGAUGGGCCCGCGUUGGAUUAGCUAGUUGGUAGGGUAAAAGCCUACCAAGGCGACGACCCAUAGCUGGUCUGAGAGGAUGAUCAGCCACACUGGGACUGAGACACGGCCCAGACUCCUACGGGAGGCAGCAGUAGGGAAUAUUGGACAAGGGGCGAAAGCCUGAGCCAGCAAUGCCGCGUGAGUGAUGAAGGCCUUAGGGUUGUAGAGCUCUUUUGCCCGGGAUGAUGAUGACAGUACCGGGAGAAUAGGCUCCGGCUAACUCCGUG
Molecule: ribosomal RNA, 433 nt
Filed under: uncultured bacterium
Lineage: Bacteria
Description: partial 16S ribosomal RNA
Rfam family: Bacterial small subunit ribosomal RNA
Source: RNAcentral